Molecule: ribosomal RNA, 465 nt
Filed under: uncultured bacterium
Lineage: Bacteria
Description: partial 16S ribosomal RNA
Rfam family: Bacterial small subunit ribosomal RNA
Source: RNAcentral
CUACGGGAUGCAGCAGUGGGGAAUAUUGGACAAUGGGGGAAACCCUGAUCCAGCAAUGCCGCGUGUGUGAAGAAGGCCUGCGGGUUGUAAAGCACUUUCGGUUGGGAGGACUGCUUCUAGCACUAAUAUUGUUGGAAGUUGACGUUACCUUCAGAAGAAGCACCGGCUAACUCCGUGCCAGCAGCCACGGUAAUAUGGAGGGUGCAAGCGUUAAUCGGAAUUACUGGGCGUAAAGCGCGCGUAGGCGGCUAGAUCAGUCGGGUGUGAAAGCCCCGGGCUUAACCUGGGAACUGCAUCCGAUACUGUCGAGCUUGAGUACAGGAGAGGAGAGUGGAAUUCCACAUGGAGCGGUGAAAUGCGCAGAUAUGUGGAGGAACACCAAUGGCGAAGGCAGCUCUCUGGCCUGAUACUGACGCUGAGGUGCGAAAGCGUGGGGAGCAAACAGGAUUAGAUACCCGCGUAGUC